GUUUCCCCGCCAGCCCGGGCUCCUGCGCUGAGGGACGGACGGGCGAGCGCCGAGCUGCGGCUGAGCCCUGGGACGUGGGCAGGGUCGGCGCGUUUGAAUUUUACAGUUGAGCUGUUACUGGCACGUGGGAAUUUUUCCUCUCUCCUCCCUUUAUUCCUUUUCCUUCCCUUCGGAGGGCGGUGCUUUCCCGCAGCCUUGCGCUGGAGAUGCGCCCGGACACGCCGGGAGCUUGCGGAGCGCGGCUCCCGGUGCCGCCGGCAGCCCGGCCUGAAGGUGCGGACGGUGGGGCCAUCAGCGGCCGAGUGCAUGAACUCGCUCACCGAGAAACAGCGUUUAAAAUGAGUGAAGCACUGCAGUUCAAUCACCCCACAAAAUUCUAAUACGUGAGGUGAUCCCCCCAUUUAAACUACUAAGUGUAGGUAUUUGCCUUAAUUAUUAACACACCUCUCCGUCCCUGAACUCCUUUGCUCCCCAGACCCCUUCCAACAGCAGCACGGCAGUUCGUGCCUUGCAAAUGCAGCAGCUCCGCGUUCCACUCACGCUCCACCUCCUUCCCCUUCCGCCAGCUGCUGCGGGACAUCCCUUCCUUACCCCAUCAGGGAACUGCCGCGUGCAGAGGUGCCAAGGGAAAUGUAGCACUCGUUUGGUUAUUGCCUUUGUAAGGGGUCAGGCCUGAAUGCCUGUAAAUCAGGAGCAGAACUUGCAAAGAAGCAGCUGCCUGUCUCGGUAUGAACAAGAAGAUGCAAAAGACUUAGGGAGACGUGGAGCAAUGGACUGAGUAACUAAACUGUUCUCUACAAGUAGCCUAAAUUCUUUCAAAAGGACUCUAUGUUAUCUUCAGUCAGAAGUUAAUGCGCUGGUGGCUCUACAAGCAUGUAUAUCUUCAAAAAAAAGGAGUUCUUGGAUUAUACAAAGUAAAUUAGUACCACUGAAGAUGAGGGUUGUUUUAAAACAAGUCUCACAGGCCUUCCAUACUCAGGGAAAGAACAUCAGCUCGUCUUCCUUUUUUCCCCAGCUGUUAUACCACCUUUCUGUCCCCUUUUAUGUUAGCUACAAAUGCAGGUUUACCUUGUAAGUAUUUCCAAGGCUGCUGCAAGUAUGCAUUCCGUUUUAACCUUCACUUCUCAGUACACUAUUGCUUUGCUCGUAUCCCAAAUUGUCACAAUAUAAAAGCUGGUGAAAGGUUCCUGCUAAUAAAUUCCUUCUUCUUCUACCUCAUCAUCAAGUGUUCUCCAAGUUAGUCUAGUCUAGUCCAAGUCUCAAGAUACCAGUACUGAGCUUUGCCCUAAUGAUGAGAUUAGGAAAUACUUUCCUAUUAACUAUUAGAAAUAGCAAUAAAUUUACUUGUGGAGAUCUGGAAUUUCCUUCUCUCCACUCAUACUCAGCACUCCCAUUUUAACAAACUACAAGAUGUAGUUUAUCAUGGCAAGAUUCUCACAAACUGAAAGGCUGUUUUUAGAUCCUGUAAAGAGAUUUCCAGAACUCUACAUAUAAAUUCUGCCCUUCUGUUUAUAGCUGGAAGGACAAGUGUACCAGCGUGGGAAAAAUGGUCCUGUAGCUUUUAAGAACAAGAUUUCAAAAUUAGAAUGAAGUCUCCCUCAUCCCUCCAUAGAAGUUAUAUGUAAUUUUAAAAAUGUGUUGCAAAAAAAGUAGUGCCAUCCACAUUUACCUGAGCCCCCUUACUAUGCACAAGAAAAAGAAGGCAGUAGAAGAAAGGAGAGGAGGGAAAAAGAAGACAAGAUGCAUGCUCUCAAAGACUUUUCUUACCUCUGAACUUCAUUGAGCUUUUACAUAUAGUUGGCAUGAAGUACUACAGAAGAUUGUAUGUGCUGGGUUCUUGUUUUAGGGUGAAGAUGUACAUCAGUGUAAGUAGUAGGAAGUUCUGCAGGCAGGUUACUGCCAAUAUGUGCAUUAAUGGCAUACAAGGAUCAUUUGAAAAAUCAUGUUUUGUUUCAAUUAACCCCAAAUAAUACUAAGCUGAAUGAGAAGCGCUGACCUUCUCAGUUUCAGAGGCUCACAGAAGAGGAGAGCUGAGAUUGCAAGGGAUCUCUAGAUAAAUUCUUGUCCAAACCCUAGCUCAAAAGUGGGGUCAAAUGGAGCAAAUUGUUCUGAGUUGUGUUCAGCCAAGCUUUGAAUAUCUCCAAUAAUGGUGACUCCACAGCCUCUCUGGGCAGCUUCUUCCCAUGUUUGACUGAAAGAAGUUCUUCCCUUACAUUUAACGAAAACUUUGUGUAUUGCAAUUUGUGCCUGCAGCCUCAUGUCCUUUCACUGGGCACCACUAGAAGAACAUGGCUAUUUUUAAUUUUUUUUUAUUUUAAAUUUUAUUUGUAAUUUUAUUUUGCAAUUCCUAGAAUGCUUAAAGCAUUUGUUAAAUUCAGACCACCUGCAGAGAAAUCAGCAGUGCUGCUCAUAGCACAAGAAGAUAACAGGGUGCUUGAGACAUUGCAGCACCAUGGUUUGGGAGAAUUCUUACAACUCAUCUCUCAGAUAUGCUCAAUGUAAGUUAUCUCCAUACAUAUACAUGUAUAUAUACACACAUAUAUAUAUGUGUGUAUGUAUUAUACACCAUAUAUAUGAUCAGCAGAUAAUGGUCAGUACUCAACAUAAUUAGCCCCUCAAUCAAUAUUAUGCUUUUACUCCUGUGCAUUUUUAAUUCUAGUGGUGAACUAGUAGUUUGCAGCUUCCAGAACCACAGUUGUCACUGCUGUACUAGUCCCACUUUGUGUAUAGUGUUGGUUGUGUGAUAUUUAUAUGAAAACCUGUUUCUUGUUUCAUACUAGAGGACUAAUUGUCCUGACCCUUAUUUCAGCUGCACCUAGCCCAAACUAGGUAGCUGUUCUUUUGAAAAUAAUUACUUGGCAAAUACAGAAGUCUGCUGUAUUUUAAGAAAAGAAAGGUCUCAGAAAAACAAGUUAAUCUCUCACAAAGUAGGAAUGAAUAAACAAAAUGAUCAAU
Molecule: non-coding RNA, 2955 nt
Organism: Cyanistes caeruleus (blue tit)
Lineage: Eukaryota; Metazoa; Chordata; Aves; Passeriformes; Paridae
Source: RefSeq, a predicted model, not a curated record